Molecule: ribosomal RNA, 1244 nt
Filed under: Amblythyreus gestroi
Lineage: Eukaryota; Metazoa; Arthropoda; Insecta; Hemiptera; Phymatidae
Description: 16S ribosomal RNA
Rfam family: Archaeal large subunit ribosomal RNA (bases 810-1177)
Source: RNAcentral
AAUAUAAAUAUUAUAUAAUUUUAAUAUUUUAAUAUUUUUCUAAAAAUAAUUUAUUAUUAAAGUAAGUUUUAUAGAAAUAAUAAUUAUAAUUAUAGUGAAAUUUACCGUAAGGGAUUUUUUAAUUAAUAAAAAGUAAUCUUUAUUUGGUGUACCUUUUGUAUCAGGGUUAAUUAAUUUAAUUAUUAUAUAAUAUUUUCCCGAAAUUAAAUGAGAUAUUGUUUUAUGUUUUUUAAUAUAUCAAAAUUAUAUAAUAUAAAGCAAUUGAGGUGAUAUACUAUUCGAAUUUAGAUAUCUGGUUUUUUGAGAAUUGAAUUUAAUUCAGACAUUAAUAUAUUUUAAUUCAAAGUUAAUUGAAUUUAUUAAUGUUAAUACUCUUGGGGAUUAGCUCAAGUUUAUUUUUAAAAUAAGAGUAUAAUUAGUAAAUGUAGGCUUAGAAUCAGCCAUCUUUUAAGUCGUUAUAGAUAGUUCUAAUUAUUGAAUUUAUUUAAUUUUUAUUUAAAUUGUUAUCAGAAAUUAUAAAUAAAUUAAUUAUUUUUAGUAAUAAUGAUUAAAUGAGUAUAAUUGUUAUAUAUUUUGUAGGAACUCGGCAAUCUUGAUUUUCGCCUGUUUAACAAAAACAUGUCCUUUAGUUUUUAUUAAAGGUCUAACCUGCCCAAUGAGUAUUGAAUGGCCGCGGUAUUUUGACCGUGCAAAGGUAGCAUAAUCAUUUGUCUUUUAAUUAAGGACUGGUAUGAAUGGUUGGACGAAAUAUUAACUUUCUUCAUUUUAAAAUUAAAAUUUAAUUUUCUAGUCAAAAAGCUAAGAUUUUUUUGGAGGACGAGAAGACCCUAUAGAACUUUACUCAAUUUUUCUAAUCACUUAAUUUUUUUGAUUACUUAAGUGAUUAGGGAGUUGAGUUAUGUUGGGGUGACAUAGAAAUUUUUUUAACUUUCAUUUUAUUAAUUCAUUAAUAAGUGAAUCUUUUGAUCCAAAAUUUUUGAUUAAAAGUUUAAGUUACCUUAGGGAUAACAGCGUAAUUCUUUUGGAGAGUUCAUAUCGAUGAAGGAGUUUGCGACCUCGAUGUUGGAUUAAAAUAAGUGGUAGGAGUAGCAGUUUACUUACUAGGUCUGUUCGACCUUUAAUUUUUUACAUGAUCUGAGUUCAGACCGGCGUGAGCCAGGUUGGUUUCUAUCCUCAAAUAAAAUUUAAUGUUUUAGUACGAAAGGGCCAGACAUUUCAAUAAGAUUGUUAUGUUUUGAAUAAAA